This is a long non-coding RNA of Equus quagga, 307 nucleotides long. RefSeq lists it as uncharacterized. NCBI's taxonomy places the organism in Eukaryota, Metazoa, Chordata, Mammalia, Perissodactyla, Equidae. The record is from RefSeq and is a predicted model, not a curated record. The transcript has 3 exons.
GCAUUUUCUUCAUCAAACUGACUGAACCAACCAGUUGGUCUGGUACUACCGGGAUCAGGUCCAUGAAAUCUUUCUGAAGGUUUCUUCUCUUUGCUCGUUGUGACAACCUAAAAUAUCUCCAGAUGUUGCCAACUGUUCCCUGGGAAGCAAAUUCCUCCCAUUUGCGAACGCUUGGCUUAGAGUUUCCGAAGACCUGGUGAUUAUUCUCUCUUGGUCACGGCCAGACUGGACUCAGUCUGUGCGAGGCUGGGUUCUCUUCAUCUACUUUAAUGAAAAUGACCCGUCACAACUGAUGAAACGCAGAGGC